RNAcentral lists this ribosomal RNA (1468 nucleotides) under Salmonella enterica. Its description in RNAcentral is "bacterial SSU rRNA". It matches the Rfam family "Bacterial small subunit ribosomal RNA". Lineage: Bacteria; Pseudomonadati; Pseudomonadota; Gammaproteobacteria; Enterobacterales; Enterobacteriaceae. RNAcentral also lists the same sequence under 2 other names. The record is from RNAcentral.
GAACGGUAACAGGAAGCAGCUUGCUGCUUUGCUGACGAGUGGCGGACGGGUGAGUAAUGUCUGGGAAACUGCCUGAUGGAGGGGGAUAACUACUGGAAACGGUGGCUAAUACCGCAUAACGUCGCAAGACCAAAGAGGGGGACCUUCGGGCCUCUUGCCAUCAGAUGUGCCCAGAUGGGAUUAGCUUGUUGGUGAGGUAACGGCUCACCAAGGCGACGAUCCCUAGCUGGUCUGAGAGGAUGACCAGCCACACUGGAACUGAGACACGGUCCAGACUCCUACGGGAGGCAGCAGUGGGGAAUAUUGCACAAUGGGCGCAAGCCUGAUGCAGCCAUGCCGCGUGUAUGAAGAAGGCCUUCGGGUUGUAAAGUACUUUCAGCGGGGAGGAAGGUGUUGUGGUUAAUAACCGCAGCAAUUGACGUUACCCGCAGAAGAAGCACCGGCUAACUCCGUGCCAGCAGCCGCGGUAAUACGGAGGGUGCAAGCGUUAAUCGGAAUUACUGGGCGUAAAGCGCACGCAGGCGGUCUGUCAAGUCGGAUGUGAAAUCCCCGGGCUCAACCUGGGAACUGCAUUCGAAACUGGCAGGCUUGAGUCUUGUAGAGGGGGGUAGAAUUCCAGGUGUAGCGGUGAAAUGCGUAGAGAUCUGGAGGAAUACCGGUGGCGAAGGCGGCCCCCUGGACAAAGACUGACGCUCAGGUGCGAAAGCGUGGGGAGCAAACAGGAUUAGAUACCCUGGUAGUCCACGCCGUAAACGAUGUCUACUUGGAGGUUGUGCCCUUGAGGCGUGGCUUCCGGAGCUAACGCGUUAAGUAGACCGCCUGGGGAGUACGGCCGCAAGGUUAAAACUCAAAUGAAUUGACGGGGGCCCGCACAAGCGGUGGAGCAUGUGGUUUAAUUCGAUGCAACGCGAAGAACCUUACCUGGUCUUGACAUCCACAGAAGAAUCCAGAGAUGGAUUUGUGCCUUCGGGAACUGUGAGACAGGUGCUGCAUGGCUGUCGUCAGCUCGUGUUGUGAAAUGUUGGGUUAAGUCCCGCAACGAGCGCAACCCUUAUCCUUUGUUGCCAGCGGUUAGGCCGGGAACUCAAAGGAGACUGCCAGUGAUAAACUGGAGGAAGGUGGGGAUGACGUCAAGUCAUCAUGGCCCUUACGACCAGGGCUACACACGUGCUACAAUGGCGCAUACAAAGAGAAGCGACCUCGCGAGAGCAAGCGGACCUCAUAAAGUGCGUCGUAGUCCGGAUUGGAGUCUGCAACUCGACUCCAUGAAGUCGGAAUCGCUAGUAAUCGUGGAUCAGAAUGCCACGGUGAAUACGUUCCCGGGCCUUGUACACACCGCCCGUCACACCAUGGGAGUGGGUUGCAAAAGAAGUAGGUAGCUUAACCUUCGGGAGGGCGCUUACCACUUUGUGAUUCAUGACUGGGGUGAAGUCGUAACAAGGUAACCGUAGGGGAACCUGCGGUUGGA